RNAcentral lists this ribosomal RNA (267 nucleotides) under Nocardia farcinica. Its description in RNAcentral is "partial 23S ribosomal RNA". It matches the Rfam family "Bacterial large subunit ribosomal RNA", at positions 1 to 265 of the family's 2925-position model. Lineage: Bacteria; Bacillati; Actinomycetota; Actinomycetes; Mycobacteriales; Nocardiaceae. The record is from RNAcentral.
UUGUAAGUGUUUAAGAGCGUUCGGUGGAUGCCUUGGCACCAGGAGCCGAUGAAGGACGUAGGAGGCUGCGAUAAGCCUCGGGGAGCUGUCAACCGAGCUGAGAUCCGAGGAUUUCCGAAUGGGGAAACCCAGCACGAGUGAUGUCGUGUUACCCGCGCCUGAAUAUAUAGGGUGUGUGGAGGGAACGUGGGGAAGUGAAACAUCUCAGUACCCACAGGAAGAGAAAACAAGAGUGAUUCCGUGAGUAGUGGCGAGCGAAAGCGGAUG